Molecule: ribosomal RNA, 97 nt
Filed under: Acanthosepion pharaonis
Lineage: Eukaryota; Metazoa; Mollusca; Cephalopoda; Sepiida; Sepiidae
Source: RNAcentral
GUUGAAACACUGGUUUCGUACGAUCACCGAAUUAAGCAGCGUCGAGCCAGGUCAGUACCCAGAUGGGUGACCGCUUGGGAAUACCAGAUGCUGUAAG